RNAcentral lists this transfer RNA (63 nucleotides) under Trogoderma granarium. RNAcentral's name for it is "tRNA-Cys". The record is from RNAcentral. Lineage: Eukaryota; Metazoa; Arthropoda; Insecta; Coleoptera; Dermestidae.
AGGUCUUAUAUUCAAUAAUGAUGUUAAAUUGCAAGUUUAAAGGAGGGGUAUCCCUAAGGCUUA